ANAGUUUGAUCNUGGCUCAGAUUGAACGCUGGCGGAAUGCUUUACACAUGCUAGUCGAACGGCAGCACGGAGAGCUUGCUCUCUGGUGGCGAGUGGCGAACGGGUGAGUAAUAUAUCGGAACGUGUCCAAUAAUGGGGGAUAACGAGUCGAAAGAUUCGCUAAUACCGCAUACGCCCUACGGGGGAAAGCAGGGGAUCGUAAGACCUUGCGUUAAUGGAGCGGCCGAUAUCUGAUUAGCUUGUUGGUGAGGUAAAGGCUCACCAAGGCGACGAUCAGUAGCUGGCUUGAGAGAACGACCAGCCACACUGGAACUGAGACACGGUCCAGACUCCUACGGGAGGCAGCAGUGGGGAAUUUUGGACAAUGGGGGCAACCCUGAUCCAGCCAUUCCGCGUGAGUGAAGAAGGCCUUCGGGUUGUAAAGCUCUUUCGCGAGGGAAGAAAACUUAUGAUCGAAUAAAUCAUGAGGUUGACGGUACCUUGAUAAGAAGCACCGGCUAACUACGUGCCAGCAGCCGCGGUAAUACGUAGGGUGCGAGCGUUAAUCGGAAUUACUGGGCGUAAAGCGUGCGCAGGCGGUUUUGUAAGUCGGAUGUGAAAUCCCCGGGCUCAACCUGGGAACUGCGUUCGAAACUGCAAGGCUAGAGUGUGUCAGAGGGGGGUAGAAUUCCACGUGUAGCAGUGAAAUGCGUAGAGAUGUGGAGGAAUACCAAUGGCGAAGGCAGCCCCCCUGGGAUAACACUGACGCUCAUGCACGAAAGCGUGGGGAGCAAACAGGAUUAGAUUACCCUGGUAGUUCCACGCCCUAAA
RNAcentral lists this ribosomal RNA (810 nucleotides) under uncultured bacterium. RNAcentral's name for it is "bacterial SSU rRNA". It matches the Rfam family "Bacterial small subunit ribosomal RNA", at positions 8 to 806 of the family's 1533-position model. The record is from RNAcentral.